GUGGGGAAUAUUGGACAAUGGGCGAAAGCCUGAUCCAGCCAUGCCGCGUGUGUGAAGAAGGUCUUCGGAUUGUAAAGCACUUUAAGUUGGGAGGAAGGGCAGUAAGUUAAUACCUUGCUGUUUUGACGUUACCGACAGAAUAAGCACCGGCUAACUUCGUGCCAGCAGCCGCGGUAAUACGAAGGGUGCAAGCGUUAAUCGGAAUUACUGGUCGUAAAGCGCGCGUAGGUGGUUUUGUAAGUUGGAGGUGAAAUCCCCGGGCUCAACCUGGGAACUGCCUCCAAAACUGCAUGACUAGAGUACGGUAGAGGGUAGUGGAAUUUCCUGUGUAGCGGUGAAAUGCGUAGAGAUAGGAAGGAACACCAGUGGCGAAGGCGACUACCUGGACUGAUACUGACACUGAGGUGCGAAAGCGUGGGGAGCAAACAGGAUUAGAAACCCUGGUAGUCC
Molecule: ribosomal RNA, 450 nt
Filed under: uncultured bacterium
Lineage: Bacteria
Description: bacterial SSU rRNA
Rfam family: Bacterial small subunit ribosomal RNA
Source: RNAcentral